AAUCGUUUAAUACUCUUUAUGGUCUUCUGUUACUUUUCUUAGGUGGGAAAGUUAAUAUCAAGAACCUGGACACCAUUCUGAACAAUCUAGAAAUCAAACUUGCAGAUUCAGAACUUAAAGAUCUGACUCAAAAUAUACAUGCUGAUGUUGAUAAGAAAAUUUCUCUAGAAAUGCUGAUGGAUAAAGUCACAGAUUUCACAGGUGAGAAGAUUGAGUCUAAGGAUGUUAAAAAUGUUGUUAAAAAUCUUGGAAUUGAGCUUGCAAGUGAAGAACUAGAAAAGCUAAUGAAAACACUGCCAACUGAUGGUGAGCCAUACAAAUGUCUGUGGGGGCUUCCAGGGAGCUUGAAUUUUUGUG
Molecule: long non-coding RNA, 357 nt
Organism: Bos indicus x Bos taurus (hybrid cattle)
Lineage: Eukaryota; Metazoa; Chordata; Mammalia; Artiodactyla; Bovidae
Source: Ensembl